Molecule: non-coding RNA, 1433 nt
Organism: Cricetulus griseus (Chinese hamster)
Lineage: Eukaryota; Metazoa; Chordata; Mammalia; Rodentia; Cricetidae
Source: RefSeq, a predicted model, not a curated record
AUGGCUGCUGAGUGAACUGCGGGGAAUUAAAGAGAGCUGCAUAGUCUCUACCCUCAUGUGCAGAUGCUCAAUCAAUCUUGACUGCAACUUCAGCUUUUCCAUCAAGAACGUUUCACUCCAUGAUGCCAAGGAGAUGAAGAGAUAAACAUGUGGGUAUGGCUAGGCAGUUUGAGCCACAGGAUGCAAUUAGCAUCCUAGCCCAGGGUAAAUCCCUGCCUCCCACAGUUGAAGUCAUGGAAGGAUUGAAGAGAGGAGCAAUUACAUUUCCUGUGUCCUCUCAAUGACUUAUGACACCAACUACCUGGAAUUGAACCAAACUUCACAAUUCAAGGAUACACUCUUCUGCAAGUAAACUUUCACCCCAUGCACCAGCUGCUAGUUUGGGUUCUUCAGACCAACAUCAUUCUGGCCAGCUGGCUUCAAAUUUGGAAAUUCCCACUACUAGUUCAAAUUUUAUUUGCUAGACUGACUCACCAAAACUUAAGAAAGUGCUGUACUGAUGGUUAUACUUUAUUAUGACUACAGGAAAUCAGAGCCAUCCAUAUGGAAAACUUCACAGAGUAAGAUCUAAGAGAGGCCCAAAUAUGGAAACUCCCAUUGUCUGUGAACUUGUGGACUCUGUGAACUUGUAGACACUAUUAUCCAAAUAUGUUGUAGUACUCAAAAUAUCAGCAAUCACUGAAAGCUCUACUUAUUCUCUGUGUCAUCAUUUUGUUGGGGUUCUAUUACAUAGGUACAGUUGGCUGAUUCAAUGGACUUGUCCUUCAUUCUCCAGCCUCCUUCUCUCUAUGUGCUUAGGCUGAUUUCACCAAUCAUAAAGCCCUCACACUUUAUGGAUGAUUAUGGAUGCAGCAAUUCAUAGACACACUUGGAGCUUUGUGAAGCUGCUCUUAUGAAGGUGACCAGCAUGGCUAUUAUAUACUACAACUUCCUCAAGGCAUCUUUCUCCUGGUGAAAGAUCCACACAACCCUCCUUCUCCAACUUGUGAUCAAAGCACUCCACUUGACAACAUUCACAAAGUGAGCAUGCCUGCGCAUUCUCCAGGGACACCUUCUUGCCUGGAAUGCCAGUGAGAUCUUGUCAUCCUCUAGUGGCUGAACUCCAAAGCUACAUUCCUAGCUUUCGCCAACAUGCUCUGUCCCACAGUGUUCCAUAUUCAUUUCUAACAUUCGACACUUUCACUUGUGAUCAUAGGAAGACAAUGGUAAGCUAUUGCGUAUAGACCCAAAUACAUCUAGAUGCAUGUGUGCUGUAGUGAAUAAUAUCAUGCUUGCUCCUUGGUCGGUACUGCACUCCUAAUUACUUACCUGAACAUUUUGCAUACUCAUGUCACUUUCAUUUUACUUUAUGGUCUUGCUAGGCUGAGGCCACUAUGACAGCAAAAUUACCCCAUAAAGUGUAGGUAAAUCACAUAACACAAUAAAAUUAUACA